Molecule: ribosomal RNA, 328 nt
Filed under: uncultured bacterium
Lineage: Bacteria
Description: bacterial SSU rRNA
Rfam family: Bacterial small subunit ribosomal RNA
Source: RNAcentral
AGCGAACGCUGGCGGCGUGCUUAACACAUGCAAGUCGAGUGCGCAGUUCCGCUGUAGCAAUACAGUGGGAUGGGCGCACGGCGCACGGGUGAGUAUCACGUGAACAACCUGCCCUUCGGACGGGGAAUAACCCCGCGAAAGCGGGGCUAAUACCGCGUACGAUUCCGGGGACUUCGGUUCCUGGUCUGAUAGCUCGCAAGGGUGACGGAGGAGGGGUUCGCGGCCGAUUAGCAGUUGGCGGGGUAACGGCCCACCAAGGCAAUGAUCGGUAGCCGGUCUGAGAGGAUGGCCGGCCACACUGGAACUGAGACACGGUCCAGACUCCUAC